UCUGCCUCCCUGACAGCAUCUCCUGGCUUGCCUGCUGUGUUAAGAAAACCCCCAAGGACAUUAGGGGUUACACUUUAUUAUUUAUUUCCAAUACACACAAUCAUUGGCAAUUACUUUAAAUAACUCCGGCAAAAAUAUAAUGGAAUAAUCCAGUCACGGUAAAUAAUUACCAGGUCUAUCAGGAAUUAAUCGGGAGGAUCUGAAGUCAGGUGAGUGAUGUGUAGCCGUCUUGACAAUAGAAAGAAUGAUAGCGGAGGGGAUUAUAUACAGAACACAGGAAGAAGAGCUCCACGGAGGAGGGAGGAAAAGGCCUCAUCAAUAGUAAGAGCUGGGAGAGUUGGCAUCAUUGCUAUGUUACACAAUCAACAUCACAUCCUGUUAAUCAUAGAACUAUGCAGAUUUGACACAACUAUCUCUGGAAUACAGAGGCCAUGCAUAGACAUUAACAUUUAAGAAAUGUGCACAAAGAAUCUCCAAUCACUCCUAAUUUUAAAGACUAAAGUGAACACACAGAUGCUUUAGCCUUGUAGAGAUUAAGAGGUCCAGAAAACAAUCAUAAAUGUCUACCAACAGAAAAUGGAAAAGCUUUGAGAAGAAUCUGUAUUUACACAGCCGAGGGCCGGCGGGCUCGACUCAGCAAGGGGAGAUGAGUCGUCAUCAAGCUAAGGUCAAAUCUCAGGUAGAGAGGAAACACCGAAAAAACAGAAUCCUAGUCCCCCUGAUGGACGAUUUUCUGCUGAGUCUGUCAAGGGCCCUUACAGUAUGGCUGUCAGAUAUGACGAGAUCUACAAAACAAAGUGGCUAUAAGACCAGUCUGCUUAAUGCAUCUGACAACACGUCAUAAUCAGGCUCUGUCAAUAAUAAUUUGUUGAACAUCCAAGUCACUCAAUAGGACAAGCAAAAGAGAAAUUACCAAGUUAAGGAUAAUGCGGACGUAAAACGGAGCCGGAGCCAAAACAUCAGGUGACUAUUGUGCCAGGUCAUUUAUAGGACCAGGUGACAUGUGAAAUUUACGACCUUUCUCACUGUCCAGUGAGUAAAGACAUGAUCCCCAACAUCAAUUUGACAGUUCUGUAAAAUAUGUGUCAUUCUGACCAAGUUGUGUCCACAUGUCAACUAAUCGUCCAAGUACUGACGGUGAAAUGACCAGAGUGGCUUGUGUGUACUGAUAGCUCUCUCUCUCUCUCUCUUUCUCUCAGUAGACUAGCACAUUAUAAAGCUUUUUCUUAAACUUUAGUAAUUCAAUUAUAAUCAAUUCUAUUAUCGAAUAAAUGUAAAAUAUU
Long non-coding RNA from Saccostrea cuccullata (small rock oyster), 1283 nucleotides. RefSeq lists it as uncharacterized. The record is from RefSeq and is a predicted model, not a curated record. Lineage: Eukaryota; Metazoa; Mollusca; Bivalvia; Ostreida; Ostreidae. The transcript is spliced from 7 exons.